RNAcentral lists this ribosomal RNA (301 nucleotides) under uncultured bacterium. RNAcentral describes it as "partial 16S ribosomal RNA". It matches the Rfam family "Bacterial small subunit ribosomal RNA", at positions 509 to 809 of the family's 1533-position model. The record is from RNAcentral.
CAGUCGCCGCGGUAAUACGAAGGGGGCGAGCGUUGCUCGGAAUGACUGGGCGUAAAGGGCGCGUAGGUGGCGUGCACAGUCAGAUGUGAAAUUCCUGGGCUCAACCUGGGGGCUGCAUUUGAUACGUGCGUGCUAGAGUGUGGAAGAGGGUCGUGGAAUUCCCAGUGUAGAGGUGAAAUUCGUAGGUAUUGGGAAGAACACCGGUGGCGAAGGCGGCGACCUGGUCCAUUACUGACGCUGAGGCGCGAAAGCGUGGGGAGCAAACAGGAUUAGAUACCCGUGUAGUCCCUGUCUCUUAUAA